Molecule: non-coding RNA, 32 nt
Filed under: Homo sapiens (human)
Lineage: Eukaryota; Metazoa; Chordata; Mammalia; Primates; Hominidae
Source: RNAcentral
ACAGGUGGGGUGCUGUUUCCUCCCAUUGUAAA